Molecule: RNA transcript, 3886 nt
Organism: Mangifera indica (mango)
Lineage: Eukaryota; Viridiplantae; Streptophyta; Magnoliopsida; Sapindales; Anacardiaceae
Gene name: vacuolar protein-sorting-associated protein 11 homolog
Exons: 7
Source: RefSeq, a predicted model, not a curated record
GUUACUACGGCGUCGUUUUGUUAUUGGCAACUGAAGUCGAAGGCAACCAAAAAACGACAUCUACAACAUUCUUUAUGCACGACGGAGUGAUCUCACAUCCCGAUCCGUCUCCCCGCGAAAGCAGAGCCCUUUGGUCAAAGACUAUAGCAAUAUGUACCAGUGGAGGAAGUUCGAAUUCUUCGAGGAAAAAUACGGAGGUAAGAGCACGAUUCCGGAGGAUGUUACGGGAAAGAUCACGUGCUGCUCAAGUGGCAGAGGCAAGGUAGUGAUCGGCUGCGACGACGGCGCCGUAAGCCUCCUCGAUCGAGGCAUCAAGUUCAAUUUCGGAUUUCAAGCUCAUUCCUCUUCUGUCCUAUACCUCCAGCAGCUCAAGCAAAGGAACUUUCUGGUAACUGUUGGAGAAGAUGAAAAGAUAUCGCCACAACAAUCGUCUACCUGUCUCAAGGUUUUUGACCUUGAUAAAAUGGAACCGGAGGGAACUAGCACGACAAGUCCUGAUUGUAUUGGAAUUUUGCGAAUAUUUACUAAUCAGUUUCCUGAAGCUAAGAUAACUUCAUUUCUAGUACUAGAAGAACCUCCACCGAUACUUCUUAUAGCUAUUGGUUUAGAUAAUGGUUUUAUUUACUGCAUCAAAGGAGAUAUUGCAAGGGAGCGUAUUACUCGUUUCAAACUUCAGGUGGAUAAUCAGAAUGACAAAAGUCAAUGCUCUAUCAUGGGAUUAGGGUUCAGAGUGGAUGGUCAAGCUCUUCAGUUGUUUUCUGUGACUCCAAAUUCAGUGUGCUUGUUCAGCUUGCAGAACCAACCACCUAGGAGGCAAGUCCUGGAUCAGACUGGAAGCAAUGCCAAUAGUGUUGCAAUGAGUGAUCGCUCGGAGUUGAUAAUUGGUCGAUCUGAAGCUGUGUAUUUUUAUGAUGUUGACGGACGUGGUCCUUGUUGGGCUUUUGAAGGAGAGAAAAAGUUUUUAGGAUGGUUUCGUGGAUACCUUUUAUGUGUCAUUGCAGAUCAAAGAAAUGACAAGAAUACCUUCAAUGUUUAUGACCUGAAGAAUCGUUUGAUAGCCCACAGUCUAGUGGUUAAAGAGGUUUCUUGCAUGCUAUGUGAGUGGGGCAAUAUAAUACUUAUAUUGAGAGACAAGUCAGUUCUGUGUAUUGGGGAGAAGGAUAUGGAAAGUAAAUUAGAUAUGCUCUUUAAGAAAAACCUUUAUACAGUGGCUAUCAAUCUUGUUCAAAGUCAGCAAGCUGAUCCUGCUGCAACUGCAGAAGUAUUAAGGAAAUAUGGAGAUCAUCUGUAUAGCAAGCAGGAUUAUGAUGAAGCCAUGGCACAGUACAUUAACACCAUCGGUCACCUUGAACCGUCAUAUGUAAUACAGAAGUUUCUUGAUGCACAGAGAAUCUAUAACCUUACAAAUUACUUGGAAAAGUUGCAUGAAAAGGGGCUUGCUUCUAAAGAUCACACCACUCUUUUGUUAAACUGCUAUACCAAAUUGAAAGAUGUUGAAAAGUUGAAUUUAUUUAUUAAAAGCGAGGAUGGUGUUGGGGAACAUAAGUUUGAUGUUGAGACUGCUAUAAGGGUCUGCCGUGCUGCCUCUUACCAUGAGCAUGCGAUGUAUGUUGCUAAGAAAGCUGGGAGGCAUGAGUUGUACUUAAAGAUUUUACUUGAGGACCUUGGUAGAUAUGAUGAAGCCUUGCUAUAUAUCACAAGCCUUGAACCUAGUCAAGCUGGGGUGACUGUGAAAGAAUAUGGUAAGAUUCUCAUAGAGCAUAAGCCGGUGGAGACAAUUGACAUUCUCAUGACCCUCUGUACUGAGGAUGGAGAAUUUAAUAAAAGAGGAACUUCAAGCAGCACAUACAUAUCUAUGUUGCCAUCUCCUGUUGAUUUUCUCAAUAUUUUUGUCCAUCACCCUCAGUCCCUUAUGGAUUUUCUUGAAAAAUAUACAAACAAGGUGAAAGAAUCGCCUGCUCAAGUAGAAAUUAAUAACACUCUCUUGGAGUUAUACCUGUCCAAUGAGUUGAACUUUCCAUCAAUCUCACAAGGCAGCAGUGGGGUAGAUCUUAGUCUUGGAGCAAGAUCAGGAUCAUCUGUGGCUUCAAAAGCAAAGUCCAAUGGAAAAUUAACUGCUGAUCCUAAAGACAUAUAUAAGGAUAAGGACCACUUGGAAAGGCAUGAGAAGGGGCUACAAUUACUUAAGAAUGCAUGGCCGUCUGACAUGGAACAUUCACUUUAUGAUGUUGAUCUGGCAAUAAUUCUUUGUGAAAUGAAUGCAUUUAAAGAAGGGCUUUUGUUUUUGUAUGAGAAAAUGAAACUUUAUAAAGAGGUAAUUGCUUGCUACAUGCAGGCCCAUGAUCAUGACGGUUUGAUUGCUUGCUGCAAAAGGCUGGGGGAUUCAGGUAAAGGAGGGGAUCCGACUCUUUGGGCGGAUCUGCUGAAGUAUUUUGGUGAACUUGGAGAAGACUGCUCCAAAGAAGUGAAGGAAGUUUUGACAUAUAUUGAAAGAGAUGACAUCUUGCCUCCUAUUAUUGUUCUUCAGACUCUGUCCAGGAAUCCAUGUCUCACACUCUCUGUCAUAAAGGAUUACAUUGCUCGAAAGCUUGAACAGGAAUCAAAGUUAAUUGAAGAUGACCGGCGAGCUAUUGACAAUUAUCAGGAAGAUACUUCUGCUAUGAGAAAAGAAAUUCAGGAUCUAAGGACAAAUGCCAGAAUCUUUCAGCUUAGCAAGUGCACCGCAUGCACUUUCACCCUUGAUCUUCCUGCUGUGCACUUUAUGUGUAUGCACUCUUUCCAUCAGCGGUGCCUUGGUGACAAUGAAAAAGAAUGUCCGGAAUGUGCUGCAGAGUAUAGAUCUGUUAUGGAAAUGAAGAGAGGCUUGGAACAGAAUUCCAAAGAUCAAGAUCGGUUUUUCCAGCAAGUGAAGAGCUCAAAGGAUGGGUUUUCUGUGAUUGCUGAGUAUUUUGGGAAAGGGAUCAUUAGUAAAACCAGUAAUGGACGACCCUCAGGCACUCUAAGGUCAGGGAGCACCUCUUCUAGCAACGGAUUCUGAGGAUGGCAGUUCUCUAAAGAGAAUUCAAAAUUACUCCACCGAAGAAAUAUCAAAUGAAAAGACUCUGAGGGCUUUCAUUGCGGCAAUCAUCAUUUCUUAGAAACUCAAGUCAACAUUUAACUAGCCUUGUCAGUGUCACCCCUCCCACAACACCAGACCCUGUCACCCUCCCUAUCACCACCAAGUUGUUGCUUUGGGCUUGAACCCUUCAUUUUUCACCAGCCUCUCUAAUUCCGUCACAUUUUUCCCAACCUCCAUAUGUCCAGAUUCGGUGUCACAUUGAUUGCCGUUGCGAGGCACAAUAUUGCACUGACUGGCGCAUUCAUAUAUUGCUCCAUGAAAAGUGUAUGUGUUGGAUGAUCUCUCCCUCGUCCGCAACGUUGUCGUCAUCCAAAAACAAACUCCUGCACUCUCCAUUGUCUCAUCCAAAGUCUCCCACUUGUCCUUGUCAAAUCCUAAGCCCAAAAUCGCUUUCUCUUCCUUACAAACUCUGAUCUCCUCUUCGUUCCCCUUUGGGCCUCCUCCUUUUGUGAUAACAAAAACAAAAUUCUAUACAACAUCUCUUCUUCCUUCGAUUUUAUCUCCUCUCUAACUUAGCCAAAUAUAAGUUAACUAAUGAAAGAGUUGGUGGCUGCAAAGUGGGUUAAACAUCAUAGAUAAGUACUAAAAGAGGUGGUAGAGGUUGAGGUGACCUUGAAUUGAGUCAAACAUUUGGGAAAAUCCUCCUUGAGGAGGAGGUGAUAAUUGUGAGAUUGGAUUUGUAUUAAUUUUAUUUGUUACAAGUUAUAGAAAUUGAAAUGUUUGGCUAAUGAGAAAAUGUGGGAAUAUAACGAACAAAAUAGAGUUGUA